Non-coding RNA from Burkholderia sp., 242 nucleotides. The record is from Rfam. NCBI's taxonomy places the organism in Bacteria, Pseudomonadati, Pseudomonadota, Betaproteobacteria, Burkholderiales, Burkholderiaceae.
AGAGUCAUACGUUGAAGGCCUAGCCAGCCACGGCGGCCCCGAGUCAUGCGUGUGUACCCGUGAGGGUGCAGGCGAAGCGUUGACAGGGGUACGCCCGGGCCGGGUAUUGAGCCGCGAAAUAAACUCCUCGUGGCAUGAGCUACGAGAUGAUCGGGGUGCCGAGGCGCUGGAUCUACGCCGAAGGCCACACCGACGCUGCCGCAUUGGCGAGGCAGUGCCGGACCCCGCGCGGUCAGAGACCC